Molecule: ribosomal RNA, 439 nt
Filed under: uncultured bacterium
Lineage: Bacteria
Description: partial 16S ribosomal RNA
Rfam family: Bacterial small subunit ribosomal RNA
Source: RNAcentral
CCUACGGGCGGCAGCAGUGGGGGAUAUUGCACAAUGGAGGAAACUCUGAUGCAGCGACGCCGCGUGAGGGAAGACGUUCUUCGGAUUGUAAACCUCUGUCUUUGGGGAAGAAAAUGACGGUACCUAAAGAGGAAGCUCCGGCUAACUACGUGCCAGCAGCCGCGGUAAUACGUAGGGAGCGAGCGUUGUCCGGAUUUACUGGGUGUAAAGGGAGCGUAGGCGGACGAGAAAGUUGGAUGUUAAAUCCACCGGCUUAACUGGUAGCUGCGUUGGAAACUUGUUGUCUUGAGUGAAGUAGAGGCAGGCGGAAUUCCUGGUGGAGCGGUGAAAUGCGUAGAUAUUAGGAGGAACACCAGUGGCGAAGGCGGCCUACUGGGCUUUAACUGACGCUGAGGCUCGAAAGCGUGGGGAGCAAACAGGAUUAGAUACCCGAGUAGUC